AACUUAGAGAUUGUGAGAAAACCUCCAAAAAUUGCACUAAUGUCACUCGGCCGCCAACUUGAAAAGUGAAGCAAAAAUCCUAGCAAUGAUUUCUCCCUUUUCAAUUGUUAACUUUGUCUCAAAAUUGGUUUAUAGCUUGAUCUUCAAGACUUUCAAUACCAUGCCAAUUUUCACCUUAAUCCAACUGAUAGAUCUUUAGAUAUCAUAGAAAUCCUACCCAAUCUCAAACUGCCACCUUCCAAAAUCCGCUUGAGCUAAAAAUUAGAUAUCUCUAAACCAUGCCAUUAGAUUAUCACAAAAUUUUGUAUAUACUUAUCAUACCCAAUAAUCCAAAUAGAAUCGAGUUUUCAAUGGUAGAUGUCAUACCAAUUGUACGAACUAGCCAAAAUUUCUAACCCUAAUUAUAUUAUAUAAAACCCAAAUCACUGAU
This 430-nucleotide long non-coding RNA is filed under the name Physcomitrium patens. RNAcentral describes it as "long non-coding RNA (PPAT_LNC012591)". Lineage: Eukaryota; Viridiplantae; Streptophyta; Bryopsida; Funariales; Funariaceae. The record is from RNAcentral.